UUGAACUUGGGUAGGUGAAGGGAAG
This 25-nucleotide non-coding RNA is filed under the name Cricetulus griseus (Chinese hamster). Lineage: Eukaryota; Metazoa; Chordata; Mammalia; Rodentia; Cricetidae. The record is from RNAcentral.